GAGCGGUAACGCGGGAGCAAUCCUGGCGACGAGCGGCGAACGGGUGAGUAAUGCUUCGGAAUCUGCCCAGUAGUGGGGAAUAACCAGCCGAAAGGUUGGCUAAUGCCGCAUACGACCCCUCUUCAUACAGGGGAGGGUUGAAAGCGGGGGAUCGUAAGACCUCGCGCUAUUGGAUGAGCCGAAGUCGGAUUAGCUAGUUGGUAGGGUAACGGCCUACCAAGGCGACAAUCCGUAGCUGGUCUGAGAGGACGACCAGCCACACUGGGACUGAGACACGGCCCAGACUCCUACGGGAGGCAGCAGUGGGGAAUAUUGGACAAUGGGGGCAACCCUGAUCCAGCGACGCCGCGUGUGUGAAGAAGGCCUGCGGGUUGUAAAGCACUUUUAGUGGGGAUGAAAAGCUCANGGGCUAAUAACUCUGGGUCUUGACCUAACCCACAGAAAAAGCACCGGCUAACUCUGUG
Molecule: ribosomal RNA, 464 nt
Filed under: uncultured bacterium
Lineage: Bacteria
Description: bacterial SSU rRNA
Rfam family: Bacterial small subunit ribosomal RNA
Source: RNAcentral